RNAcentral lists this ribosomal RNA (909 nucleotides) under uncultured bacterium. RNAcentral describes it as "bacterial SSU rRNA". It matches the Rfam family "Bacterial small subunit ribosomal RNA", at positions 8 to 916 of the family's 1533-position model. The record is from RNAcentral.
AGAGUUUGAUCCUGGCUCAGGGUUAACGCUGGCGGCGUGCCUUACACAUGCAAGUCGAACGGGGCUAUCAGCGAUGGUAGCCUAGUGGCGAACGGGUGAGGAAGACGCAGGGACCUACCGACCAGAGGGGGAUACCCGCUGGAAACGGCGGAUAAAACCGCAUACGCCCGGGUGAAAGCCCGGGGAAAAGCACUACGGUGUUACUGGACGAGGGACCUGCGGCCCAUCAGGUAGUUGGGGAGGUAACGGCUCACCAAGCCGACGACGGGUAUCUGGCGUGAGAGCGCGAACAGGCACAAGGACACUGAGAACGGGUCCUACUCCUACGGGAGGCAGCAGUGGGGAAUAUUGGACAAUGGGCGAAAGCCUGAUCCAGCGACGCCGCGUGUCGGAAGGAGUCCUUCGGGAUGUAAACGACUUUUGGUGGAGACGAAUAAGCAGCUCAGGGAAUGGGGCUGUGAUGACGGUAUCCAUGGAAUAAGCCCCGGCUAACUACGUGCCAGCAGCCGCGGUAAGACGUAGGGGGCAAGCGUUACCCGGAAUUACUGGGCGUAAAGGGAGCGUAGGCGGGAGGUCAAGUCCGGUGUGAAAGACCCUGGCUCAACCAGGGAUGAGGGCUGGAAACUGACAAUCUUGAGUACAGCAGAGGAAGAGGGAAUUACCGGUGUAGGGGUGAAAUCCGUAGAGACCGGUAAGAAGGCCAGUGGCGAAGGCGCUUUUCUGGGCUGUUACUGACGCUGAGGCUCGAAAGCCAGGGGAGCAAACCGGAUUAGAUACCCGGGUAGUCCUGGCCCGUAAACGAUGCUCACUAGGUGUGGGGCGCAUAGCGUGCUCUGCGCUGAAGCAAACGCAAUAAGUGAGCCGCCUGGGGAGUACGUCCGCAAGGAUGAAACUCAAAGGAAUUGACGG